Mycena filopes is the source of this 95-nucleotide non-coding RNA. The record is from the annotation of a GenBank genome assembly. Lineage: Eukaryota; Fungi; Basidiomycota; Agaricomycetes; Agaricales; Mycenaceae.
GACCUGAUGGUGAAUGGUUCACACCCAUCCUCCUUUCGAGUUGAACUGAGGUGAAUAGAAAAUGGGAGUCCCCGGUUCGAUUCCGGGUUGGGUCA